CAGCAGCCGCGGUAAUACGUAGGUGGCAAGCGUUGUCCGGAAUCAUUGGGCGUAAAGCGCGCGCAGGCGGAUAGGUCAGUCUGUCUUAAAAGUUCGGGGCUUAACCCCGUGAUGGGAUGGAAACUGCCAAUCUAGAGUAUCGGAGAGAAAAGUGGAAUUCCUAGUGUAGCGGUGAAAUGCGUAGAGAUUAGGAGGAACACCAGUGGCGAAAGCGGCUCUCUGGCUUGUAACUGACGCUGAGGCUCGAAAGCGUGGGGAGCAAACAGGAUUAGAUACCCGUGUAGUCCCUGUCUCUUAUACA
RNAcentral lists this ribosomal RNA (301 nucleotides) under uncultured bacterium. RNAcentral's name for it is "partial 16S ribosomal RNA". It matches the Rfam family "Bacterial small subunit ribosomal RNA", at positions 509 to 808 of the family's 1533-position model. The record is from RNAcentral.